GCCCGGAUAGCUCAGUCAGUAGAGCGUUAAACUUUUAAUCUAACGGUCCAGGGUUCGAGGCCCUGUUCAGGCU
Molecule: transfer RNA, 73 nt
Filed under: Nephila pilipes (giant wood spider)
Lineage: Eukaryota; Metazoa; Arthropoda; Arachnida; Araneae; Nephilidae
Rfam family: tRNA
About the family: Transfer RNA (tRNA) molecules are approximately 80 nucleotides in length. Their secondary structure includes four short double-helical elements and three loops (D, anti-codon, and T loops). Further hydrogen bonds mediate the characteristic L-shaped molecular structure. tRNAs have two regions of fundamental functional importance: the anti-codon, which is responsible for specific mRNA codon recognition, and the 3' end, to which the tRNAs corresponding amino acid is attached (by aminoacyl-tRNA synthetases). tRNAs cope with the degeneracy of the genetic code in two manners: having more than one tRNA (with a specific anti-codon) for a particular amino acid; and 'wobble' base-pairing, i.e. permitting non-standard base-pairing at the 3rd anti-codon position.
Source: Rfam by way of RNAcentral